ACGGGAGGCAGCAGUGGGGAAUAUUGCGCAAUGGACGGAAGCCUGACGCAGCGACGCCGCGUGGGGGAUGACGGCCUUCGGGUUGUAAACCUCUUUCGCCAGGGACGAAGCUUUAUUGUGACGGUACCUGGAUAAGAAGCACCGGCCAACUACGUGCCAGCAGCCGCGGUAACACGUAGGGUGCGAGCGUUGUCCGGAAUUAUUGGGCGUAAAGAGCUCGUAGGCGGUGUGUCACGUCGGCCGUGAAAACUUGGGGCUUAACUCUGAGCGUGCAGUCGAUACGGGCAUCACUUGAGUUCGGCAGGGGAGACUGGAAUUCCUGGUGUAGCGGUGAAAUGCGCAGAUAUCAGGAGGAACACCGGUGGCGAAGGCGGGUCUCUGGGCCGAUACUGACGCUGAGGAGCGAAAGCGUGGGGAGCGAACAGGAUUAGAUACCCUGGUAGUCCACGCCGUAAACGUUGGGCGCUAGGUGUGGGGACCAUUCCACGGUUUCUGUGCCGCAGCUAACGCAUUAAGCGCCCCGCCUGGGGAGUACGGCCGCAAGGCUAAAACUCAAAGGAAUUGAC
RNAcentral lists this ribosomal RNA (566 nucleotides) under uncultured bacterium. RNAcentral's name for it is "bacterial SSU rRNA". It matches the Rfam family "Bacterial small subunit ribosomal RNA", at positions 341 to 914 of the family's 1533-position model. The record is from RNAcentral.